Molecule: long non-coding RNA, 1418 nt
Organism: Cimex lectularius (bed bug)
Lineage: Eukaryota; Metazoa; Arthropoda; Insecta; Hemiptera; Cimicidae
Exons: 3
Source: RefSeq, a predicted model, not a curated record
AAGAUCUUACAAAUCCUUUUGUCACAUGUACUGUACCAAUAUCAGCGCAGAAGACAUUUGGAGUAUGCAAGCGUUGUUUCAAUUUAUAAGUAUCAGACUUGGCGAAUGUAAAAAGCAUUAUUAUACAGAAAAUAAGAUCUCAUUUCAUAUUUAUAACAACAAACGUUUAUCUAGGAUUGGAUGAACAGUCCAGUCUAGCCUAGGCAUUGAGAAGGAAAAGGAAAAAAUACAGCUUGGACAAAGCAAAUAAGAUUUGUAUCCAUAUUAAUUUAUUAUUUGUUUAAAAAAUCCAUUGUUAAAGCUAUUUUAUCUUAGUAUUUUUAUAUUCAAAGAUGAUUCUUUUAGUUUAUCCCAUAAGGUACAUAUUUAAUAUUUCAUAUUUAUAACAACAAAAGUUUAUACAGGCUUUCCCCUCCAUACUAGAGGCAGGAAAGUCUAGGGUGAACAGUCCAGUCUAGCCUAGGCAUUAAAAAGGAAAAGAGAAAAAAAAUCCAGCUUUACACACAUGAGCAAAUCAGAUUUCAGAGAUAAUUUAUUAUUUGUUUAAAAACCAAUUUUUUAGUUAGCCCAUAAGGCAUAUAUAGUUAAUAUUUUCUUAUAUCAAACGAAAAAUUAUUUGUUCAAGCUAGAAAGCAAAAGUCCAAUUUUUAUUUGAUUUAUCUCACAUGUGCCAUAUUUUGUAAUAUAUUUAUUAAUUCACUAGUUUUCGUGGUCAGCUUGACCAAAUCUCUUUCAAUUAAUUAAUCUUAUUUAAGGUAUUGGUUGAGAUAAAAAAGGCAGCGUCACAAGCAGGAUUCGAACCCACAACCUUUGGUUAAAUGCGCCGCUGCUCUACCACUAGCAGCAACUAAUAGCUCAAGGGCAGCGGCACAUUUAGCCGAAGGUUGUGGGUUCAAAUCCCGCUUGUGAAACUGACUUUAUCUCAACCAAUACCUUAGAUACAUAUUUGUUAAUUGAAAACAAUAUAGGAGUUCUCCCUGCAGUUUUUAAUAGAGUUAGUCAUAAAAAAUGACCUUUUUUUCUUGCUAAUUUAAAAAUAAUUUUAUAUUCGCAAUUUUUUUUUUUUUUUAAUAUUCAAAAUAUAUACUGUUCUAUGGUUUGUUGCCAUCUAGGGACCAGAAAUUGAAUUCCUGCACAACACCACUCUUUGGGGUUUGAACAGAAGAAUUCUGAAACACCAUCUUGAACCUCAUCCAGAUAAUUACAAGUUUUCCCUUGAAGAUAAUGAGCUAUGGACUGGAACAGAUGGUAGUGUAAAUGUGCUAAGUCUGGACUGUAAGCAGGGAAAGCCUUGAUCUUCUAUCGUUCUUUCUCUUUUUGCCAUGUCUUGCAACAUUUCAUCUUUGGACGGGAAGUUAUCAUUUUUCAACAUGUUUAAAAAACUCCUUAUCUGAAAAUGAAAUAAAAUAUUAAUUUAA